CAGGCUUAACACAUGCAAGUCGAGGGGCAUCAGGAAGAAAGCUUGCUUUCUUUGCUGGCGACCGGCGCACGGGUGAGUAACACGUAUCCAACCUGCCCUUUACUCGGGGAUAGCCUUUCGAAAGAAAGAUUAAUACCCGAUGGCAUAAUGAUUCCGCAUGGUUUCAUUAUUAAAGGAUUCCGGUAAAGGAUGGGGAUGCGUUCCAUUAGGUUGUUGGUGAGGUAACGGCUCACCAAGCCUUCGAUGGAUAGGGGUUCUGAGAGGAAGGUCCCCCACAUUGGAACUGAGACACGGUCCAAACUCCUACGGGAGGCAGCAGUGAGGAAUAUUGGUCAAUGGGCGCUAGCCUGAACCAGCCAAGUAGCGUGAAGGAUGAAGGCUCUAUGGGUCGUAAACUUCUUUUAUAUAAGAAUAAAGUGCAGUAUGUAUACUGUUUUGUAUGUAUUAUAUGAAUAAGGAUCGGCUAACUCCGUGCCAGCAGCCGCGGUAAUACGGAGGAUCCGAGCGUUAUCCGGAUUUAUUGGGUUUAAAGGGAGCGUACGUGGACUGGUAAGUCAGUUGUGAAAGUUUGCGGCUCAACCGUAAAAUUGCAGUUGAUACUGUCAGUCUUGAGUACAGUAGAGGUGGGCGGAAUUCGUGGUGUAGCGGUGAAAUGCUUAGAUAUCACGAAGAACUCCGAUUGCGAAGGCAGCUCACUGGACUGCAACUGACACUGAUGCUCGAAAGUGUGGGUAUCAAACAGGAUUAGAUACCCUGGUAGUCCACACAGUAAACGAUGAAUACUCGCUGUUUGCGAUAUACAGUAAGCGGCCAAGCGAAAGCAUUAAGUAUUCCACCUGGGGAGUACGCCGGCAACGGUGAAACUCAAAGGAAUUGACGGGGGCCCGCACAAGCGGAGGAACAUGUGGUUUAAUUCGAUGAUACGCGAGGAACCUUACCCGGGCUUAAAUUGCAGUGGAAUGAUGUGGAAACAUGUCAGUGAGCAAUCACCGCUGUGAAGGUGCUGCAUGGUUGUCGUCAGCUCGUGCCGUGAGGUGUCGGCUUAAGUGCCAUAACGAGCGCAACCCUUAUCUUUAGUUACUAACAGGUUAUGCUGAGGACUCUAGAGAGACUGCCGUCGUAAGAUGUGAGGAAGGUGGGGAUGACGUCAAAUCAGCACGGCCCUUACGUCCGGGGCUACACACGUGUUACAAUGGGGGGUACAGAAGGCAGCUAGCGGGUGACCGUAUGCUAAUCCCAAAAGCCUCUCUCAGUUCGGAUCGAAGUCUGCAACCCGACUUCGUGAAGCUGGAUUCGCUAGUAAUCGCGCAUCAGCCACGGCGCGGUGAAUACGUUCCCGGGCCUUGUACACACCGCCCGUCAAGCCAUGGGAGCCGGGGGUACCUGAAGUACGUAACCGCAAGGAUCGUCCUAGGGUAAAACUGGUGACUGGG
Molecule: ribosomal RNA, 1433 nt
Filed under: uncultured organism
Description: 16S ribosomal RNA
Rfam family: Bacterial small subunit ribosomal RNA
Source: RNAcentral